This 529-nucleotide ribosomal RNA is filed under the name uncultured bacterium. RNAcentral describes it as "bacterial SSU rRNA". It matches the Rfam family "Bacterial small subunit ribosomal RNA", at positions 979 to 1509 of the family's 1533-position model. The record is from RNAcentral.
UCUUGACAUCCAGCGAACUUUCCAGAGAUGGAUUGGUGCCUUCGGGAACGCUGAGACAGGUGCUGCAUGGCUGUCGUCAGCUCGUGUUAUGAAAUGUUGGGUUAAGUCCGCAACGAGCGCAACCCUUAUCCUUUGUUGCCAGCGAUUCGGUCGGGAACUCAAAGGAGACUGCCGGUGAUAAACCGGAGGAAGGUGGGGAUGACGUCAAGUCAUCAUGGCCCUUACGAGUAGGGCUACACACGUGCUACAAUGGCGUAUACAAAGAGAAGCGACCUCGCGAGAGCAAGCGGACCUCAUAAAGUGCGUCGUAGUCCGGAUCGGAGUCUGCAACUCGACUCCGUGAAGUCGGAAUCGCUAGUAAUCGUGGAUCAGAAUGCCACGGUGAAUACGUUCCCGGGCCUUGUACACACCGCCCGUCACACCAUGGGAGUGGGUUGCAAAAGAAGUAGGUAGCUUAACCUUCGGGAGGGCGCUUACCACUUUGUGAUUCAUGACUGGGGUGAAGUCGUAACAAGGUAGGCGUAGCGAG